GAGAUUCCCCCAGUAGCGGCGAGCGAACGGGGAGCAGCCCGGAGUCUGAAUCAGCUUGUGUGUUAGUGGAAGCGUCUGGAAAGUCGCAGGGUACAGGGUGAUACUCCCGUACACUAAAGCACACAGGUUGUGAACUCGAAGAGUAGGGCGGGACACGUGGUAUCCUGUCUGAAUAUGGGGGGACCAUCCUCCAAGGCUAAAUACUCCUGACUGACCGAUAGUGAACCAGUACCGUGAGGGAAAGGCGAAAAGAAC
RNAcentral lists this ribosomal RNA (255 nucleotides) under Klebsiella oxytoca. RNAcentral describes it as "partial 23S ribosomal RNA". It matches the Rfam family "Bacterial large subunit ribosomal RNA", at positions 231 to 524 of the family's 2925-position model. Lineage: Bacteria; Pseudomonadati; Pseudomonadota; Gammaproteobacteria; Enterobacterales; Enterobacteriaceae. RNAcentral also lists the same sequence under 1 other name. The record is from RNAcentral.